GAGAUAUACAGCUGACAUUCUUGUCACACCUGAUACAGGACCUGUAAUGGAUACUGCCAUUAGUCACCGCAUGCCAGUUUGGCUGAGAGGUAACUAUCCUAGCCUGUCCCAUCUGCGCCAGACCUGCCCCUUGUUUUCAACAAGUCACUUCUCUGUAGGUCAGCACUGGAAUGAAAAUCAGUAUGUAGACUGGGUAUUCAUGAAGUCUGUGGCUGAACGUGAGCCCUGAGUUAAUGUGAUCGUCUACAUGUCAGCAGAGAAAGACCUUCAGUGGGUUACUGGAAUUCUGUGCAUUUGCAGAACAAAGAAACCCAGAUCCUGGUGUGGUAUCAAGUCCCAGCAGAAGUCUUGUGAUAGAAAUCAUAUAAUCUUUCACAAAUGACUGCAACAUGAGAGACAGAAAAGAAAGGAAAAAGCUUUAAUGAACAGACGAGCAGAAUGACAGUAGUGAAGGAGAAGACUCAGAUUACUUCAACAGGCUUUGAAUCAAGAUCUUCUGUUCUGUGGGGCUUUGAAUACAAGCUGAGCUCAGUAAGUGAUUUUGGCACAUGACAGCUCUGGCAUGCGGGAUCGGGCCCCUGUUGCUAAAGGAAAGAAUAUCACACACAGGUACCUUGAAAUCAUACACAGACAUCUUGUCUCUGCUUUUUUGUUCUUCAAAGCAACCUGUGCUAGCAGCAGACUGGGAUUCCACAGUGCAGUAGUUUCCAUGGCAAAAUGGAUUACGAAUGCUGCUAACACCACUUCUGUGGCUCCACUCCUCCUUCUCCUUCCCCUGACUUUUUAAAAUAAAAAACCUGGCAGGUAAAAUUCACCUCUGCUCAAUGAAAGUUUGACUCUCAGUCUACAAUUCACAUGUGCCUAUUCUGCAAAGGUAAUCCAGACAAACUGCAUGUAAGCGUCUUGCCCUCCUGGUACCUCUGUGGCUGAACUGGAAGGUCUCAAAUUGCACUGUUACAGUUGGAAGUCUAAGAAAUUACAUGAAAGACAAUGGAAAGCUUAGGACUCGUAGCUUACCAUCUGCACUGGAAGAGCAGAAAGACUAUGGUUAUUUCAAUUCCUACUUUUUAAACAUGCUAUCAUCUAACCUACCCAUCUAAUGAAAGGUAGGUAAGGGUAAACAUUGCCUUCUGUUGCAUGGCUUUGAGAUCUUGAUUGAAAUUCCUUCUGUAGCCUGCGCUUCUUGUAUUGACUGUGGACACACACUUAUUUCAGCACUCUACUCUCUCCAACUCUACAAUGUACCACAAAAACUUCAAAUAGAUAAAAGUUAUAAAAUCAUGGUUUCAUACCUCAGACUGUUAUGAAAUAUACAUUAUAAUCACUAAUGUGAAGGUAUCAGUCUCAGUUAAAAUAACUGAGUGUAAAAUGUCUUGUCUUUGAAAUGGUCCAGAUUCUUAUCGUUAAUGAAGCCAUGAAAUAAUUACUGGUUUGGGGAAUUUGUUGAGAAAGCUGUAGCCUGAAUUCGGUCUAGACUCAGAGAUUAAAUAAAUUGGUCUAUUGGGAGUUUUUGGUUUUGUUUUUCUUGGAAUCUUUUUUUUUGCAAUUCUGCACAGUUGAAAAGAAAAUUAAUAUUAUCUAUCAAGCAAAUAACUUUAUCCCAGUUGACUGUGUUGAACUAUUUCUUCACUGGAGAUGGAGAAGUAUAUCUUAGAUAUAUUCAAAUAUACUGGUAAACAGUGUUCCUACUCCAUUUAUGGCUUCUAUUUAUGUCAGUAUUUUAGCAUUUAUCCACCAAUCCUACUUAUGUUACCAUAUUCUGGGUGAGAUGAUCAAAUACCAGUGGCAAAUUUUCUAUACCACAGUGAAUUUUCUCUUUGAUGCCUUUGAAAAUCACCAAACUUUCAAUGAAUUUACUGAAUUAACUUUAAACACAUAUGACUACAAUUUUUUUUUUACUCUGAAUAUCAACUUGAAACUAUAUUUUUUUUUUGCUUACCUGUGUAAUAUCUUACCAAAAUCUCAGUCAGACUUCAGAGUAAAAUUUAGAUAUUCUGUAUAUAGUUAGAGAGCUAUGUAGUAAUUUAUGAGAGCUUUCCUUGCAAUGUUAAUGAGAGCAAAACUUCCUCUUCACUACCUAGAUGCCACCUACUUUAAAUAUUAGCUUAUCUCUGAUUAGAGAUCUAGAUUAGUUGUGUGUAUUUUUUACCUAUUAUGCCUGUUAUGCCUAUAUUUUUUCAAGUGUUAAGGGGAAUUGUAGCUAGCUUUGAGUUUUCCAUAUAUUCAAAAAUCCGUGCAGUUAUACCUGGUGCCUUAAUAAAUUACAUUCUGAUAUAAAGCUUUACAGACAAAAAAAUUUGUUAAAUGUAUCAGUUCAUUAUUUUACACUGUAAUCUUCAGUACUUUCUAAAUUAAAAUAAAUGAAAUCAGAAGAAAUACUGGACAUGUUU
This is a long non-coding RNA of Chroicocephalus ridibundus (black-headed gull), 2390 nucleotides long. RefSeq lists it as uncharacterized. Lineage: Eukaryota; Metazoa; Chordata; Aves; Charadriiformes; Laridae. The transcript is spliced from 8 exons. The record is from RefSeq and is a predicted model, not a curated record.